RNAcentral lists this ribosomal RNA (455 nucleotides) under uncultured bacterium. RNAcentral describes it as "bacterial SSU rRNA". It matches the Rfam family "Bacterial small subunit ribosomal RNA", at positions 32 to 507 of the family's 1533-position model. The record is from RNAcentral.
AACGCUGGCGGCGUGCCUAACACAUGCAAGUCGAAACGGAGUUCCUUCGGGGGACUUAGUGGCGAACGGGUGAGUAACGCGUGAAGAACCUGCCUUUCAGUGGGGGACAACAGUUGGAAACGACUGCUAAUACCGCAUAAUGUUAUUUGGGGGCAUCCUCGAAUAACCAAAGAUUUAUUGCUGAAAGAUGGCUUCGCGUCUGAUUAGCUAGAUGGCGGGGUAACGGCCCACCAUGGCGACGAUCAGUAGCCGGUCUGAGAGGAUGAACGGCCACAUUGGGACUGAGAUACGGCCCAGACUCCUACGGGAGGCAGCAGUGGGGAAUAUUGGGCAAUGGGCGAAAGCCUGACCCAGCAACGCCGCGUGAGGGAAGAAGGCCUUCGGGUUGUAAACUUCUUUUACCAGGGACGAAGGACGUGACGGUACCUGGAGAAAAAGCCACGGCUAACUACGUG